AACCCACUUAUAACAUUUCCCCCAAUUCCCAAACCCUAGACCUAAUAACAGAAACAUCACCCCCCUUUACUGUUCUUCUUCUUCGCUUGAAACUCGCCUCAACUCGCCUGAGUGUUGAACGAGUUCACUCAUUGGUCCCCCAAGUCACCUUAUCCUCAACGGAUUUGUCAAAGGAGUACGAAUUUUCUCUCCGAAUUGCACGAUUCUCGUAUAGAAGGAAAUUGGUGGAUGAAUGGGAGCCGUGGAUAGAUGUAAAUAGAUCCACGCCCUCCAUUUGUCCCAAAAUUGUUCAAAAAUCUGAAGAUUUUCGGAUAUUUUGAGCAGAAGAUUCGAGAUUUUUUUAGGGUUAUAUAUAGGAGGUAAGCCUUCUUUUUCAAGGUUUUUAAGAAAAAUAGAGAGAAAAAUAUAGAGAGAAAACCGGAAAAAAUCUUCAGAGCCUAGUCAAACUUUCUAGGGUUUUAGUGACCGUUAUGUUUCAAGUUUUUUUUUUAGUCUAUUUCUCUGUUUUCAAAAGAAGAAAAAAAAAGAUGGCUUGAGUUUUUGGCCCUCAUUUGAGUUCAUAUUACCAAAAAGAAAAAAAAAUCCAGAAGCAAAACUUUCUAGCCUUAUUUCGUUUUUCUUGAUUUCUUGGUUCUAAAAGAAGGUUUUGGAUCGAAUUUCGAGUUUAAGUUUGUGGUUGGGUUCCGAACUUUCUUUAUUUUAGGUUUUCUGUCCAAUUUUUGGUCGAGAUUCGGAUUUGCUCGGUUGGUCUGUGAAGCUGCUGUUUUUGUUGCUGAAUCUCUCCUCCCAUUUCAGAGCUUUCUUUUGAUAUUUUUCAGCUAUUUUCCAAUAGGUAUGCUCUCCUUAAAAUACCUUCAGAACUUUUUUUUUGAUGUGUAAUUCUUGAUUUUGUUUUAGCCUAUUCACUUGUUAUUACUUGAAUAUGGGAUUGUCUUUUAGUUCGUUUCUGUUGUUGCUAUCAGAACUUAUUGGGUUUGAUUUAUUUUCAGCAUUGAACAGAGUGUUUGUAGCUUGAUAAAAAUGAGAUUUUUGUUGGAACUUAGAUCUUUUUGUUUGUUGGUGUUAAUCUUUUGGUCUUGUUCUAGAUAGAGUGAAAAUAUUUGAUUAGUUUCCCUUACUCAGUUGAAUUUGGGUCAUACGUGGUAAGUUUCAAACUAAGGUCAACUAUUCUAUUUUGAUUCUUGUUCAAAGCUGGACGACAUUUAAAGCUUACUAAGAAAUAUUUAUGUAGUUGAAAUCAUGGUUAAAAAAUCAGUCUCUCUUUGUGGAUCCACAAGUUCAAGCUAAUGACCAUGGGAGCAGUAAAGGAGUUAAUUUGUUGAAAAAGGGUGAAUUAAUAAGGUUUGGUUAAAUGGGUUAAAAUUCCAUGCUUUGAACGUUACUAGGCUUGAUUUUCUUGCUUAGCUUUUGUUUACCUUUUGUUAUACUCUGUUCUUUUUGUUUCUCUUAAAAUAUUCUUCCUUGUCGUAUUCUUGUGUUAAGCUAAGUGUUAAGGACAAAAAUAAAAGAAUUGAGUUUCAACUUUAAAAGGAAAAAAACGCUGGACUGGGAAUGCCAUUUUCUUAUGAAUAGAUGAGAUGCUUGAGGAUUACUUUGUUUUUUGGAAGACAUCAAAUGGAGUGAAUGUAGGCCAAUUGAAUGGCACUUGCUGAAAUUCCAAGUUUGAAAAGAUAGAAUUUAUUUGUACAAUUUUACUUUUAAAGUUGGGGUCUAUGCAAUUCAUUAUGGUAUUCCGAAAGAUUUGUACAUAAUGUUAUGUUAACAUAAUUCAUGAUAUUACUGAUUAAGAGCCAAUUUUAUAGACAUUUGGUUGAACCUUUACUUGUUUGAAUAUUGGUCAAGCCAUGGACAAUAAUUUACCUUUUGUCUCUUCUGUAUGAAUUCAUGGACUCUUGCUUUAGGCAUUAAAAUACAAAGUCAAGAAUGUGAAAGUCAUCCUGUUAUUUUGCUUUCCAUUCUCCUUGCUGGAAAUUCAAAACACCUUUAUACUUAUGAAAGUGCAAUUCGUUAAUUUAGAAUAAGCUUUACUGCAUUAUUGGUUCAAGCGAGCUUUAUAUUAAGCUUAAUCUCUGCGCAUUUACCCACGGGUCAUUUCUAUGAAUUUCUGAGCUUGUCACAUGAUCCCAAAUUAGCAUUAGAAUAACAACUCAUGAAUACCCGUAGUUUGCUUUAGGCUCGAUUUAGACUAGUAUUGUGAUCAUGCAUACGUUCGCGUAACAUAAUUGCAAAUUUAAUUCUUAAAAGACUCGAGGUAUGCGUUCGAGCAACUUCAACAAAAUUUUCUUAAUAAAUAAAUAAAGCGUUGUUAAUUGUGGACACGUUCGCGUGACAUGGUUUUUGACGCGCCAAAAGAAAAGAGUAUACGUACGCGUAACUCAGUUCUUUAAUUACGAAUAAAUCAAGUUUUUUUAAAAGCGGUAAAAGAUAAUUGCACAUAGGUCUUAAAAAUGAGUAGUUAAACAAUUAAUCCAAAUAUAAAUUGCUAAGCGAUUGUGCUAGAACCACGGAAUCCGGGAAUGCCUAACACCUUCUCUCGGGUUAACAGAAUUCCUUACCUAAAAUUUCUAGUUCGCAGACUCUUUAAAAAUAAAACUUCCUCAAUUUGGGAUUUAAAAUAAACCGGUGACUUGGGACACCAAAUAAUUUAUUCUUAGUGGUGACUCUGAUUAAUUAAUUAAUCCCAUUUCGAAUAAUGUCACUUAAAUUGGAAAAACUCCCUUAUAUACCCUCGGGGUGUGUAAAAAGGAGGUGUGGCAGCUCUGGCGACUCUGCUGGGAAAAAGAACCCAGAACUUUCGGUUCAGGGUUCAAGAAUUUGAGCUUGUUAAUGUGAUUUUUAUUUUGGCUUUAUUGUUGAUAUUACUAUAUUUUGUGGACUUAAUGUGCUAAUUGCCAUUUACCGAUUUGAUAUUACUUGAACUGUAAUUAAAUGUCUUCUUACGCCUCCCUUCAGAGUCUUCUAAAAAUGGUGCACACAUUCGCGUGACCCGCUUUUUCUGUAGAAAUUAUACCAAAUAGAUCGAGGCUGGGCCAGCAACAAGGCCGGGUAGAUUUUAGUGCUCCCGGUACGUUGCCCCCUCUUCAGCCCCAGUUGUCCGCUCGGGUAACCCAAGUCUAGACCACAAACCCCAGGUUUUAAACCUAGAAUAAUGCAACCUCAUUCCGGAUCCCUAGUAGGAACGAUUAUUUGCAUCACGUGCAUUUGACCUUGGGGACUCAACACAGGGGUUGGGUCCGUCUAGGACAGGUAUACCCAAAAUAAAGACCAUCAUGAUGCAUCCUACGUGCUAUGUGAAUAUUUAUUUAUUUCGGCCUGCAUGUUGACCAGUUAAUAAAGAGAAAAACCAAGAGUGAGGUAGGAUAGAAAAUUUACUCGAUUUCUAAAAAUCCCGGUAUUUGAAAAUAUCCCGAAACUCUGCCGAAUUUUUGAAAAAAAGAAAGAAAGGAAAAUGUAUUUCAAAAAGAGUGAGUCAAAUAUCAUAUUUUUAUGAUAAAACUGCCCGAACUACGCAGGUCUGAUUCUCACCGGAUGUGGGAUACGUAGGCAACCCACAUAAGGUUCAGCCUUAUUUUACCAAUUAAUAAAAUAAAAAGGUGUUUCAAGGCUUUGGUCAAAACAAUAUGCCGACCCGACUUCGGUUGUAUUUAAGUUGUUUCUCCCCGGAAUAGCUUUAGAUUACAAUCCAAUUGUUGAAAGGCUAGUUUCGAGAGGAACAAGAAAAAGGUGUCUUUUCCAAUAAAAUACCUACCCCCCGGCCUCAAAAUUCGUUUGGAAUUGUGAAGGGGCCACGUUUGCAAAAACGACCAUUUCUUGCUGACAUAGAAAUAAAAGGGGGCCUUGUCCAUUGAUUUUUUCUUAGAAAAAACUUGUUUUGCAAAGAAAGUCCACAAGAGUCAAGCCUAACCUUAACCCUCCAUAGGUACAAAUGAAUACUGUCCAGGAAUCAUCGCAAAUUAUCAUAGAAAGGGCUCAGAUGCAGCUACGUAAGUGGUGGGGUGAUUUAGAUGAGGAGGGCAAAGUUUGGGUAAAAGAGCAGUUGGGUCCCUUGGUAGACAUCAUGCACAUCAAGCCACGAGAGGAUUUAAUUAAGGCUUUGUUAACCUUUUGGGAUCCCGUUCACAAUAUGUUUCGUUUCUCGAAUUUUGAGCUCACACCCACUCUAGAAGAAAUAGCUGGGUAUAUUGAUUUCGGCCAAGAGUUAAGAAGCAGCAGCUCAUAUUCCCCAGGGCUCCCUUAGCGCACAAAUUCUUCGAUCUUUUGAAAAUUAGCAAACAAAUGAGCAAGGACCACGCAAGCAAAGGGAUUUGUGUGUUCUACUUCUUGUGUUUCGGGUUUGGACACUCGGCCAGGUUUGAAACCCAUGAGAAGGGGUUGAGUAACAACAGGACAAGAGCAUAUGGCAAAUUCAUCGACGGUUUGCUUUCAUCGUGGCAUUUCUGGGAAUCAUGGUAUUUUCGAAUUCUGAGGGUACAAUAAACCUUCGUAUGGCCAGAAUCGCACAGGUCCUCGUCGAUAAAAAAGAUCACACACUUGUCCCAUUAGUGUUGGCAGAAAUUUAUCGGGCAUUAACAUUGUGCAAAUUUGGGGGUCAAUUUUUCGAAGGCUGCAAUAUUCUUCUUCAGAUGUGGAUGAUCGAACACUUUCGCCGUCAUCCUAAGUUCAUGAGUUAUGCUUCAGACGGGAACAAUUUCAUCUAAAAGUAUGAGGAAAGGGUGGAAGAUUACAAACCACCAGAAGGGUUUGAAGCAUGGGUUUCCGAUUUGAGAAAAUUUAGAGCAGAUCAAAUUGAAUGGACCAUAGGAUGGCUCCCAGUAACAGAAAUCAUCUACAUGACCUCUUCAAAGGGCUACUUGAUGAUGAUGGGAGCGAGAAGUAUACAACCAUAUGCACCACAAAGAGUUCUGAGACAGCUGGGAAGAUAUCAGGUGAUACCCAAAGAGGCAGACCUAAGCACUCAAGUCAUUGAACUACACCUAGAAGCAACGAUACCUGAGGCUUUAGUUCAAAGAGACUGGAAUUGUUGUCGAUAUCUAAAAAGUAACACCCAGGUGCCAGACCCAGCUAAGGGUGAAGUUGAUCCCAAUUAUGCUGCUUGGUUUGAAAGGAGUUUUUAUGUGUACAAUGAGCUGGAUCCCGAGCCCGAACCUGUGAGGCCCGCCAAAAGGCCCCAUGUUCAGGCUUUUGAUGACAAAAUUCAGGAAAGGUUAGCUUGGGGGAAAAAGGAAAAGGAAUAUCAGGCCACCAUCCAUGAUCUGCGAGAAGAGUUGAGAAAUGUCACCUUCAACAAUGAUUUACAGGCACAAGAGGCCGAGGGUGAGAGGAGAAGAUUGGUUCGAGAAAAUGAAGCUCUCAGGGCCCAGGUUCAACAGCUGAAAAUAGCAGCCAAGAAUCCGGGCCAAAGAAGGAAAGAUGAAAGGCUCAUUUAUAACCUUACUCAAAAAGGUGCAUGACUAUGAAGAUGACAUGCAGAAAGCUGAGUCUGAACUAGCAAAAGCACGAACGAGGUUGGCUAAAAUGCCGAAGGGCGUGCAACUUUCAUUCAAUAGAUGAAAGAAAGAUAUGAAAGAGGGGUCAUGGGUUGGGAAAAGGCAAUUGACAACCUCAAAGGUGAAAUGGCUAAACAAGCCAAAAAUUUUAAGGCCGAGAGAGAACAUUGUUACGCCUUAAUAGCACAGUUGGAAGAGGACUUACAGCGCUUGCAAGAGCAAAAUCACGCUGCCACCCAGGUCUUAGAGGCUAGAUCCCAUCAGGUUGGCCGUUUGUUGCAAGAGAAGGGCAUCAUAAGAGAGAGAGUUCGAAGGAUUGCUGACUACAUCACCAUGAAAUGCAGUGCGUGUGAGGACAUGACAAGAUCCAUGUUUUUCGCCACUAUAAUGAUCUUCGUCCGUCAUAUAAUGGAAGAACUCUAUCGGCUCCAAGAUGACAUGGCAAGUAGGCCCGCUACAAGACCGGUUGGUGUUCCUAGGGUAGGGUUAGCGGCACUGAUGUUUUCUUGAUUGUAUUUUUUUCCUUUUUCCGAGUCUGUAUUUUCAUAUUUCGAGUUUGUUUUCAAUUCCUAGAAAAGGCAUGUCCUGAGUCUUAAAGUCCUAGAAAAGGUAUGUUUUGAGUCUUUUUGUAAUUCAGUAAAGUUGUAUUAAUGAAAAAUUGAAAAAAAAACCACAAAAAUUGUUCUUUUAUUUUUUGCAUUUACUUCUUGAACUAUGUUAUGAUCUGAUUCGCACGGCAUCGUGAUACAUAGGUAAUCCUUAUCGGAUUCGGUCAUAUUUUUGUAAACAAUUUAAAUAAAAGAGGGAAAAAAUCAUAAGAAAAAACAAAAAGAAAGAAAAGAGAGUCAAAGAAAAACCAAAAACAGAAAAAGGAGAGAAAGGAAAGAGAAGAGAGGAAAAUAAGGAAUAACCGAUGAGGCAAGAAGAGAAAAUUGGGGAAAAUAAGCAAAACUAGGAUGAAACAUGCAACCGUUGCGAAACAUGUAGAAAUACGUUUAACUGUAUAGGUGCAUCACACCCCAACGUGCGAUUUCCUAUGUGUUAUUUGUUUCAAACUAACCAAUUGGUUGUCUACUGUCAAGUCCAAGUUCUAUAGUAAGGUGGUUGGUUUUGUGGUAGUCUGGCUUCGCAUCCAUACUUCACGAGGUCGAAAGGUAGCGUUGAAAUGUCUUCAGAAAUCACUCUGCCAACAGUUCCUAUCAUGGAUGAGAGUCCGAUCUCGGGCAUCCCGACUUCGGAAUCGGUGACUGCCGAGGAAAACAUGUUACUACAUCUCUGCAUGAUGGAAAUGUGGGGCGCCUGGUCAAACGGAAGAGAGCCACCAAGUUUAAUCCCCGGAUUUCUCUAGCUUUUUGCUAGGGUAGGUGGAGCCUCCAAUAUCCCGAUCAGUCACUCCAAUAUCCCACUCGGAUAUCCAACCAUUUCGGCCCACUUUGUUGGAAAACCUUCUAAGGUUCGCCCCCAGGUGUUAGCUUUAGGAGCGGCUUAAAAUAUUUUCACUGCUCCGCCAUGCUCAACUACUACACAGUCUACGCUGCCCAGGCCCAGCUUUGACCCAUCAUCCUUCACCUUCCAAACACCAUCUUUCCUACUGGAACAUGUACAGUUUCCCACCUAUACUCAACCACCCCGAUAUGAGUUCAUUGCGGGGCAAGAAAAGACCACCAAAACUCCUGAGCAAGAAGAGAUUGCGAGGAAGAUGAGGAGUAUGGAAUAGAGUCUCAAAAGCAUAUAAGGCUUGAGUGGACAUAAAAGUGUAUCCUAUGCUGACUUAUGUAUGUUCCCUCAUGUGCAUCUACCAUUGGGAUUCAAAAUCCCAAAAUUUGAGAAGUAUGAUGGGCAUAGUGAUCCUAUUGCUCAUCUCAAGAGAUAUUGCAACCAGCUGCGAGGAGCCGGUGGAAAGGAAGAACUCCUCAUGGCCUAUUUCGGAGAAAGUCUGGUUGGCAUCGCAUCUGAGUGGUACAUGGACCAAGAUAUAUCCUGCUGGCACAUAUGCGAUGAUCUUGCUAGAGAUUUCAUCAGGACGUUCCAAUACAACAUUGAUAGUGCUCCAGAUAGGAACUCAUUGACAAACUUGAAGAAGAAAUCCUUGGAAAGCUUCCAAGAGUACGCAGUUAAAUGGCGUGAGCAGGCCUCCAGGGUAAAGCCUCCCAUGGACGAGAUUGAAAUGCUCACAGUUUUCCUCCAAGCCCAGGAAGCCGACUACUUCCAAAAUAUGAUGUCUGCAAUGGGUAAACCAUUCGCUGAAGCCAUUAAGAUUGGCAAAAUGGUUGAAAAUAGUUUGAAAACGGGUAGAAUUCUAAGCUAAUCCGCAAUCAGAUCUACCUCCCAAGCCAUUCAGGGUGGGUCUGGAGGAGUAACGAAGGGCAAGAAAAAGGAAGAAACAUGCAUGGCAGUGUGGGUGCAAGAAAACACCAUACUCCAGAUCCCUUUUCUCAAAAAGGACUCCACAGCACUAUUACCCCCACCAAGACGUGACGUAUGCUCCUCAGCCAUACACGGUCAUGAAUGCUCAACCUUAUGUCCGGCCACAACAACAAGCCAACCGGAACCAAGCUCCAUUUCCUAGAAACCAGCCUCCUUACCAAAACCACUACAACCCCCGGCCUCCACAAAACAAUUUCCACCCUCGUGAACCACCCAAGAGGCUAAACUUCACACCCAUCGAUGAAUCCUAUUCCAGCUUAAUCCUCAAACUUGUUCAGAUGGGUUUGUUGUAGCCCGUUCCCCAAACCAGAUAGAACCCAACAUCACCCCCUUACAGAGCUGGUACCCGAUGUGCCUAUCACUCAGGGACAGAAGGGCACAACACGGAUGAUUGCUGGACUCUGAAGAGAGCCGUGGAGAACUUGAUAGAACAAAGGAAGAUAGUGCUAAGGGAUGGAGAUAUUCCCAAUGUGACUAACAACCCACUACCAGCCCACAACAACGGACCGGUAAUCGGAAUAAUUUGUGAGGAUAAGGAAUUUGACCCAGCAUUGAAGGCCAUCAUUGCCAUCGCUGAUGUAGAAAAGAAAUCAAAGGCUUCCCCGAAGCAAGACAAAGGGGAGAAAAAGAACAAAACCACCCCUCCAGAGUCAGAGAAAAAAAUUGAAGUUGAAACUGGGGCAACGCCUCCCAAAGAUGUUGUUCUCUAUGUCCCUCGAGGCCGCAAAGAAAAGCAAAUAACUUUGAGUCAUCCUAGGAGAUUCGAGCUAAACAAGACAACCCAAAUAUAUGUGCCCAAGGGAGCUUAUGUGAUGCGAGGGCCAAUUAAUCCACCAAGGCUGAGUGAGCCCAUGGUUGUUGGCCGCGCGCCACAGAAGCCCAUGAUAGAUCCUGCCGUUGUGCCCUGGAAUUACAACAAAUCGGUGGUGACCUCUAAGGGCAAAGAAAUCUCAGGAGAAGUUCAAGAAAAUAACCCGUUUGAAAAGUAUUUCUAUUUGGAAGAUGUGAACAACGCCACUAGAAAGCGCUUUCCAUCUAAGAAGCCCGUGAGUGCCGAAGAAGUGGAUGCCUUCUUUCAAAAGAGGAAAAAUGGCGGAUUAUGAGGUGAUCAACCAGCUUCGAAAAUCUCCCGCACAAGUCUCCUUGUUAUUUCUGUUGAUGAACUCCACCGAACAUCAAAAGGUAAUGAUCAAGACCCUUAACGAAGCAUAUGUGCCUGUUGAGACUUCUGUAGAGCAGUUGGAGAGAAUGGCAAAAAGAUUUUUCGCAAUCAACCAGAUCUCCUUCAGCAAAAAUGACUUGCCCCCAGAAGGGGCCGCACAUAACAAAUCCCUGCACCUGACAGUCAAAUAUGAAGGGUACUACGUAAAAAGGGUUAUGUUGGACGGAGGCGCAUUUGCCCACUCUCAACUCUGCAGCAUAUGGAAAUCGGUACCGAAAUAAUCCGACCCAACAAUGUAUGUGUACGUGCCNNNNNNNNNNNNNNNNNNNNNNNNNCUUUUGGGGAGGCUGUGGAUUCAUGCAGCGGGGGCUGUACCCUCUACUUUUACCAGAUGGUGAAGUUCGAGCAUGAGGAUCAAGAGAUUGUGGUCCACGGGGAAGAUGGGCAAUCAAUUUAUCGGGACCCAUCAGUCCCAUGUCUAGAAGCAAGAGAGAGGAGUGAGCACAUAGUCUAUCAGGGCUUUGAAAUCGUGGUCGGAGAUCAGUGCGAAGAAGGAAAACCUUGCCCCCAACCCUUCCGACUGAGUCUCAAUCCAGAAUAAAGAAAAGAAGAAAAAGAACAAAAGAAGUAAAUUCAAAGUGCUGAAGCGGAGAAAGAUGUGAACUGCUCAAGAUAUGAUUGAAGUCAUGAGCUUUGCACGUCCCGCCUUGAUCCAAAGCUGAAGAAAGAACCAGAACCUACAGUUGACGAGCAUCAAGAUUCAGAUCGGAGUCUGCAUCGAGAACCAACCAAGACUCAAGAUCAAGCUUCAAAAGAUUUAUAGAUAGGAAUCUUGUAACUCGUAGUUGAUAGGCUUAGCUAGUUUAGCUUCUUAUUUUCCAUUUUUGGUUGUAAUAGGGAAUUCAGCAAGCAGUAGCAGCAGCAACAACAGUGAAAUCGCAGCUUUCCGAUAGUCCCAGCUAUCAAAACUUCCAGAACUACACUGACCUGAUUCGUUUAUAGCCAAGGAUAUGUAGGCAACCUUUGAAGCAAGGUUCGGUCAGGCUCUUAUCAAAAGUGCUUCUCAUGGAGUUCAGAUAGGCAAAAAUCCCUCGUAGUUACUCAUUUUAUCUUUGCCGGAAACCCUUUGUGUCUCCGAGCAAAGAGGAGCAGCUAUGAGUACGUGAUUUUUGCCUCACAUGAAUUACUCCUACAGAAUUCCAAAAAUUAGAUUUUUCUUUUAAUUAUUUGUUAUUUUAAGAAUUAUUGUAGAAUUCUUCUGAUUGUUUGCAUAUUUACGUGCAUGUUUAAUUUUAUUUAAUUCAUGAAAGAACACAAAAAUACUUUGCAUUUGCAUUUAGAAUUUAAUUUUGCAUCUUAGGAUUUAAUUAGUAAAUUAGUUGUUCUAUAAAAUAUGAAAAAUCCCAAAAUAGUUCAUGUUGCAUUUUAACUCUUUAAUUUUGAAUUUCAUAGAUUUUUCUUUUAAUUUAGGACUUAAUUAAUUUUUGUAAGUACAAUAUUAAGUAAUUAGUCUAAUUUGGCAGAAUAAUUUGGUUUAGUAAUUAAUUUAGGUUAUUUUAAUUUUGAAAGGAAAGAAGAUUUUGAAAUUGAAAGAAAAAGAAAAGAAUUUGAAUGAAAAGUCUGUUUGGGCCAUUUUUAAUUAAAAUUCCCCAGGCCCAAACGAUUAUGCCUUGAAACCCGUCCAAUUUCUGGCCCAAACACGUGUCUUUGCCCAGUCCAACCCUUAGCUUAUCCAAACGACGCAGCUUCGAGUUAGUCUAGUCCGGAUCCAUCUCAGUCGUUCGUUUAUUCGCAUCCAACGGCUCAAACUACUUGCCCCAAUUGCAUAAAAAUAUCCGAACUACCUUCAUUAAACCUAGUACACUGAAUUGUUUCACUUUGUCUCCUUCAGAGAGACCAUUAACCCUAGCGCCACCCUUGAGUUCCCCGCCAUUGUAGACGGCGGCGCCACCUCCAAUCAACCCCAAACCAACACCACAACACCUCCACAGCCUCCCCUUUCCCAAUCUCUAACAGAUUUCCUUCGAAUCACCCUAGGAUUUCUCGAAUCUUCAAUCGAAGUGGUCCGAUCCCAAACCCUAAAACCCAAAUCUCCCCAAAUCAUCGAGUUUCAGUAAAGGAUUGGGGUCAAGGUUGAUUUUAUUCGUGUAUUCUUAACAAGAACACAUGAUUAAUGUCAAUCUCGGCCGAAAUUCGAAGGUGUGAAGAUUUUUCAAUUUCGCUGUCCCAAACCGUCUCUUAAGGUAUUUGUUCUUUUGUUUUCUCUGUUUGCUUUUAUUCUUCUUCAUUUUUCAUUCUUAGUUCUCCUCUCCUCUUCUUCUGCUUCUUUCUUUUAUUUCUUAUUUUUCUAUUCCUUCAAAUCAUCUGUGUAUGCAUGUCAGCUUUAGAGUUAGUUUGGUUAGCAUUGUUUUUUAUAUUGAGUUUUCUUUUUGAGUAGUUUAGUUUUCUGUUUCCAUUCUUUCUUUGGGGCUCAGGGCUUCGUGAGUCUUUGUGACUCCGCAAGCUUUUGGUUGUGUGAAUUUGUUGAGUUUGAUUGAACUUGGACCCUAAAAAUCCGAAGCCCAAAAGGGGAUUCAAUCCGGGUGGCAAGACCAUUGGUUUGGAGCUAAGCCUUGGGUCAAUUUGACCCGUUUGGUUCCUGAAGUAAAUACAAGGGGUUUAAGGGUUAGUUUAGGAAAUUUAGGCUAGGGAAUCUUGUAUAACUGAUUGGGGAAACUUCUAGGAAGGUGGGUUUGGGGCUGUUUUGAAAAUCUGAUUUUUAAAUUAGGGAUUGAAUAGCAAAAAUAAAAAUUUAAAAAGAGGUAAAGAGCAAUAAACUGACCCAUUUCUACUGCCCUAAGGCUUGUCUAUAAGGGCAUUGUUUCUUCACUAACAAAGGGGGAUUUGGAGAAAUGAAUAAACACUGAAAAGUUUUCAAACGGCUGAGCAAAAAGAAGAACUCCAAAACUCUUGCAUUUUCGGUAGAAAAUUGAUCUAGUUUCUGCAAUUAGUCUUUCAAUUCUGAAACCUUCAAAGGAUUUCUAGCUUAUUUUGGAUUCAAAGAUGGUUUAAAGGCUGUUGUGCACUAUUCCAUUGUUGUUGAAAUACUGCUGCUGUCAACUGAACUUCUCAUUUUUGCUGAUCUUUAAGCACAUUUUCUUCUUCUGUUUUGAUUGUUGUAUCCAGGUAUUCACUACACUCUUUUGAUGUAUGAAAUGGAAGAACAUGAAGCUUGUUUGAGUGACCUGAAAAUCUGUGACACAUCAGUUUGGUUAAAUGCUAUUUCUGAACUCCUGAAACUAGCAGAUUUCUGCAUUUUAGUUUAGUUCCCAUUUUGUGUACAUUUGAUCAUUUUUGUUGCUAAGUUUUUGAAAGUUUUAGAUAGAUACUCUAGUUUGGCUGACUGGUUUGUAAAAGGACUGGAAUACUGCUUAAGUGUGGGGACUGUUGGUUCUCCUUUAUAUUUAAGUGUCAAUGAGGUCAAUGUAGGAUUUAGAAAUCUCGUUUGAUUUGCUACAUGGGAUUUGAUUGAGAAUCUCUUGUUGAAUCCAUGUUACUAGGCCUAUGCAUAUGUUUUGAAAUCCCAUCAAGUGUUCUGAUGAAAACUGAAGUAAAAGUUGGCUAUGUUUUGAUAGUGAUACCAAUAGGGUGAUUGGUUAUAAUACUCUAUGGUAGUUUCACUAAGUGUUUUAGUUUCAAUGAUGAUUCGUAGUAGUUCUGACUUUAAGAUGCAUAAGAUUGGUUGUUCACUGAACAAUGAAAUGUUCUAUGUUGCAAUACAGG
RNAcentral lists this long non-coding RNA (12837 nucleotides) under Nicotiana tabacum (common tobacco). RNAcentral's name for it is "long non-coding RNA (NTAB_LNC008241)". The record is from RNAcentral. Lineage: Eukaryota; Viridiplantae; Streptophyta; Magnoliopsida; Solanales; Solanaceae.